This 3233-nucleotide long non-coding RNA is filed under the name Homo sapiens (human). RNAcentral's name for it is "HSALNT0331924". The record is from RNAcentral. Lineage: Eukaryota; Metazoa; Chordata; Mammalia; Primates; Hominidae.
GCCUGGCUCCGAGUAACUGCGAGCUGGAGGCGCGGCUGCUCUCUCGGGCGGACCUCAGCUCUGCGAACCCUGUGGCUGCCGGAGCACUGAGCGCCCUGCCCGGAGUCCCGCGGAGCCUGGCGAGGAGGGGUCGCUGCAUCCCGAGGGCCAGCCCUGAGCCGGGAGAAGAUGAAACAGCUGUCAUGGAAAUAUUUUUUAAAUCUCAUACUGGUCAAACGGUGUAAACUUUGCUGGAAGGAACCUUACUCAGAGGGCCAAUCACCUGCUUCUCUAGAGUUCUCAAGCUCUCCUGUGAGCACCAGGUUGAGCUGCAGAAAGCCAGAACCAGCUCAGAAACUGAGAAAUGGACAUGAAGAUGCCCAGGAAACAUCUCUACAGCAUCCCUAACUGGGGGUUGAUCCAUUCAUUUCCAGACACAGAGAACAGAGUCACAUUCUGCUGUUUCCAUAUGUACCAUUUUAGUAAGACUUCUUGGGGCACAAGGCAGGAAGUUGGGGACAAUAUAUUUGUCUGCACCAAGGCAGCCUGAGAAGAGAGAAGUGAAUACUCCUGGGGUUAUUCUAUAUUAUUCACUUAAUAUUCUAAGUGAGUCCUCUAGGGGUACCUGAGACAUGGAGUAUGAAAGUACACAUUCACAAAAGUACCAGCUUUAAAACUAGAUUAUCUCUACUAUUCAAAAACACCAAGGAAAGGCCACACAAUGGAGACAAAGUGCAUCUGAGAUCUAGCAAAUUUCCCUGUUGGCCACAUACUGAUAAUGAUGUAUUAAAAUCAAUUCUAUACUGUGGGGUACUUAUUUGACAUUAAUAGGUACCAUGGUGGUUUAACAUAGUUGCUGCCCAGAGAAAACGCCGCACACUCACCUACACUAAAAUGAAGUCUGAGUCAGCUGCCUCCCCUCCGCCAUCCCUUCCAAAGCCAAUGGUUGAAAGUCACAGAAGUCCCUCUGCUGCCACCUAGUGACGACAAUGUGAAUACAACUACACAGCCUCCUGGGAAAGAAGUUUUGAACCACGUUUGCUUCUAAAGGAAGCCUGUAAUUACCUCUGAGUGCUCUAUUUUGGCUACAAUUUAAAAACAUAUAUAUUUUAAAACUCUAUAAACUCUUAUGCAUAUCCCUUUUUAAGAAUCUGACCUGUAAUGGAUGUAGCCUCACUUUCAAGAACCUAAAAGCUAUGCCCCCAAUUCAGGGAGUAGAACAGACAGGCUUAAGAACAGUGCCUAAAAAUGCCACUAAAUUUAUCUUUAAAAUGCCUGUGGUUCCUUAGCACUUGAAUUCCGUUAUGCCCCUGGGUAUAGUCACCUGGAUGUUAGGGGCUGUCAAAAUUCAGCCCUCAGUUGGUGAUCAGUAGGUUUUCCCUUUAAGUGGUUUCUGAAAGGAUUUUUUUUAAAAAUCUUGAAAUUCUCAUGUCUGGAUGAUGUUUCCAGUUUUGUGGAAGAAUAAAAGAAAAGGGACAUGAAAUUCUGGCUCCCUGGGGGCAGUGGCUGUGUCUUAUUAAUCUCUGUGCCCAUUGUACCAACACCGGUCAGUCACAGCAUGUACUCAACCAAUGCUGAUGAAUGCAGAGGGGCGAGGGGCUGGCACGCUCUUGACCCCUUAUAGGGGCUGCGUCGAUGGCCAGGGUUCAAUGGGAACUUUCUGGUACAGUCUUGCUCUGCCAAUCUUUCAAAUUAAGUGCAGCACAAUUGGAAGCCUCACAUUCUCAUAGACGGGUUGAGGAGGGCAUUAGGGGCAGAAAGGCUCACAUAAGGCCUGAGCGUGAGGUUUCCUGCCCAGCACUGCUGUGCCAUUGCAGCCCACCUUCUUCUCACCUUUCCUUCCACACCACGGCGCGGCAGGUGCAGAAACCGUGCUGGGAUUGAGGCCCUAGAGGCUGACUACAGGUCUUGGGGGCAAAACAUCUGGACACACAGCUGAAGAUGAGCCAAGUAUAUUAGUCAGGGUUCUCUAGAGAAACAGAACCAACAAGAUAGAGAGAUGCAGAGAGACAGAGGGACAGACAGACAGAUUUAAGUAACUGACCCAUAAAAUCUUGGAGGCUUGGCAAGUCCAAAAUCUGCAAGAUGGAAGUGGGCUGGCACAUUGGAGACUCAAGGAAGAGUUGCACGUUGAGUUCAAAGGCCGGCUGCUGGCAGAAUUCCUUUCUGCUCAGGUGAAGUCGGUCUCUGUUCUAUUAAGACCUUCAACUGAUUGGAUGAGGUCCACCCAUAUUAUGAAGGGUCAUUUGCUUUACUCAACAUCUACUCAUCUAAAUAUUAAUCUCAUUGAAAAAAAACCCCAGAAACAUCCAGAAUAGCAUUUGACCAAAUGUUUGGACAAUGCAGCCUAGCCACAUUAACACACAAAAUUAACUGUCACAGCAAGACACCAGGGAAGCAUUGGAAGAUGUUAGCGGCUGUCAUUGAAAUGGGUGCCGUCAGGUGGACGGCAGCCAUCCAUCGGGCAAGAGCGGGGCAGCUGGAAGGGCCCUCCCCUCCCGUUUGCUUUCUGCUCUUCACAGCUCACGGAUAGAGGAAUUUUCUCAGCACAUUUCCCAGGAGGAGUUUGGCACCACCAUUUCUUGAAAACAGAUGUCUGCAGGGAUGUGUGUGUGCCUGUGAAUAUGAAGUCCAGAGCCUGGGACUGAGAACAGCAAGGGGAACAGGUGGCCACAGGGGAGUUGCCAGAUUGCUGACUUAAGAUGUGCUCCCAGGGCUGCACUGGUGUCGGUCGUGAGAGCGAUCACGGUUUGUGCAACGUCUGAACUUUCUAUCAACUUAUGGUUUAAUCAAUUUGCUGUUUACUCCAGCUAUUUGCAACCUCUCCUCAGUUACUUGGUGUUCAGCAGUGUAAUAUAUCUUCAUGUGUGAAUAUAAAUAUACUAUUUAGUGGAAACUAAAAGGAAUUGUGGAGGAAGAAUUUUUUUGGAUAAUUUUAUGUUUUCAUAAUGUAAAAAUUAAAGAUAUUUGAAGAGUUGAGUAUGUCAGUUUUGGGGAUGCAAGAGAAUGACUUCGGGACUACCAUAAUAUUUAAAAUCAUCACUACUCUUUCUUUCCACCUAAGUCUCAUAGCAAAAGAGGAAAUUUACUUCAGUCUCUUUCUGUAGCAGAACAUUAUCGUGCUGUAUUCCUGUGUUCACUUAUCUGCGCUGGAUUGUGAGUCCUUACAGAGAGAAAUUGUUAUGUGCUAUGUUCCCAACACCUGCACAUUAUAGGUGGUCACUAAGUGCUUGAUGAAUAAAUGAAUGAGGGAA